AUGUGUGCACUGUGCCUUUAUUACUCCUGUAUGAGCGGACCAAAAUUGUCGUUAGCAGCGCUGGGAGAAAAAAUCUCUCAGCUUCUUGUCAUUUUUGCUAGCCUUCCAGAAUCACAACAGCACACGGACCUUUGCCCCAUUGAAGCGUGUGCAUAAUUUUCGUGAUGUUGUCAGAUCAAAUCAAGGAACGAAGUGACAACACUGCCCCCACGGAUGCGGAAGGAACGCCGGAGGAGCCGUUCCUUUUGUGGCGAAAGACGACAUUGAAACACUGCUACUGUACCUUCCAUCUCCGUUGUGUGCGAAUGUACCUUUAGGCCACUGAAUCUUAGGAAUAUGAUCUUACAAAUGAUCCUUGAGCUGUGGAACAGAUCCUUGAGCUGUGGAACAGAUCCUUGAGCUGUGUAAACAGAUCCUUGAGCUGUGGAACAGAUCCUUGAGCUGUGGAACAGAUCCUUGAGCUGUGGAACAGAUCCUUGAGCUGUGGAACAGAUCCUUGAGCUGUGGAACAGAUCCUUGAGCUGUGGAACAGAUCCUUGAGCUGUGGAACAGAUCCUUGAGCUGUGGAACAGAUCCUUGAGCUGUGGAACAGAUCCUUGAGCUGUGGAACAGAUCCUUGAGCUGUGUAAACAGAAAGCAAUAGUCCAACUCUUGACAAUUCUUUAAAAAAAAAGGUCAAAGAGAUUUUUGUUCAGAAAACCUUUAAUUGUAAUUAGAAUUACUUAUAAUGACAUAUUUCAAUAAAUAUUUAGUUAUAUACAGUUACAGCAGAAAUUGUAC
This is a long non-coding RNA of Oncorhynchus kisutch (coho salmon), 780 nucleotides long. RefSeq lists it as uncharacterized. The record is from RefSeq and is a predicted model, not a curated record. NCBI's taxonomy places the organism in Eukaryota, Metazoa, Chordata, Actinopteri, Salmoniformes, Salmonidae. The transcript is spliced from 3 exons.